Molecule: ribosomal RNA, 479 nt
Filed under: uncultured bacterium
Lineage: Bacteria
Description: bacterial SSU rRNA
Rfam family: Bacterial small subunit ribosomal RNA
Source: RNAcentral
AUGAACGCUAGCGGCAGGCUUAAUACAUGCAAGUCGAACGGUAACAGGUCUUCGGACGCUGACGAGUGGCGCACGGGUGAGGAACACGUACACAAUCUACCUUAUACUGGAGAAUAGCCCCGGGAAACUGGGAUUAAUACUCCAUAGUCCUUAAUGAUCACAUGAGAAAUAAGUAAAGCUUCGGCGGUAUAAGAUGAGUGUGCGUCCCAUUAGAUUGUUGGUGAGGUAACGGCUCACCAAGUCGACGAUGGGUAGCUGGCGUGAGAGCGCGACCAGCCACACUGGCACUGAGACACGGACCAGACUCCUACGGGAGGCAGCAGUAGGGAAUAUUGGUCAAUGGACGAAAGUCUGAACCAGCCAUGCCGCGUGGAGGAUGACUGCCCUCUGGGUUGUAAACUCCUUUUAUAUGGGAAGAAACCUCUGGAUUCACUCCAGAGCUGACGGUAUCAUAUGAAUAAGCACCGGCUAACUCCGUG